Molecule: ribosomal RNA, 253 nt
Filed under: uncultured bacterium
Lineage: Bacteria
Description: partial 16S ribosomal RNA
Rfam family: Bacterial small subunit ribosomal RNA
Source: RNAcentral
UACGAAGGGGGCUAGCGUUGUUCGGAUUUACUGGGCGUAAAGCGCACGUAGGCGGAUCGUUAAGUCGGGGGUGAAAUCCUGGAGCUCAACUCCAGAACUGCCUUUGAUACUGGCAAUCUUGAGUCCGGAAGAGGUGAGUGGAACUCCUAGUGUAGAGGUGGAAUUCGUAGAUAUUAGGAAGAACACCAGUGGCGAAGGCGGCUCACUGGUCCGGUACUGACGCUGAGGUGCGAAAGCGUGGGGAGCAAACAGG